CGAGUAGAUCCUCCUCAGCCAUUCGAUCGUGUUUAUUAGGGAAAUAGAUCUGGGUUGUUCGAUCAAAGACCCGUGGGUCAUCCGAUUGUGCUUAUCAGAGAAAUCAAUUCGGACCAUUCAUGCGUGUCAGAGUGAAAAUGGGUCGUUGGAUCGCCCUGGCACGCAAAUUGCCUGUGUGGCUCCCGCAUGGAGCCAAUGCUAAUGUAUCCGCCACACGGCAUAUCCUGACUCGUCGUGCUGUUGACAUGACUGUCGUACAUGGAUCAUUUCUUUUAAUUUGUGAAGUGACCCUGUUUUUCCAUAUUUCUUUCAAACAUACUCUCCAUUUUUUACAGUUUGGCCCUGAUUUAUGAAAAUUAUUUCAA
Molecule: long non-coding RNA, 365 nt
Filed under: Carica papaya (papaya)
Lineage: Eukaryota; Viridiplantae; Streptophyta; Magnoliopsida; Brassicales; Caricaceae
Description: long non-coding RNA (CPAP_LNC010886)
Source: RNAcentral